AACGCUAGCUACAGGCUUAACACAUGCAAGUCGAGGGGCAGCAUGGUCUUAGCUUGCUAAGGCCGAUGGCGACCGGCGCACGGGUGAGUAACACGUAUCCAACCUGCUGUCUACUCUUGGACAGCCUUCUGAAAGGAAGAUUAAUACAAGAUGGCAUCAUGAGUCCGCAUGUUCACAUGAUUAAAGGUAUUCCGGUAGACGAUGGGGAUGCGUUCCAUUAGAUAGUAGGCGGGGUAACGGCCCACCUAGUCUUCGAUGGAUAGGGGUUCUGAGAGGAAGGUCCCCCACAUUGGAACUGAGACACGGUCCAAACUCCUACGGGAGGCAGCAGUGAGGAAUAUUGGUCAAUGGGCGCAGGCCUGAACCAGCCAAGUAGCGUGAAGGGUGACUGCCCUAUGGGUUGUAAACUUCUUUUAUAAAGGAAUAAAGUCGGGUAUGUAUACCCGUUUGCAUGUACUUUAUGAAUAAGGAUCGGCUAACUCCGUGCCAGCAGCCGCGGUAAUACGGAGGAUCCGAGCGUUAUCCGGAUUUAUUGGGUUUAAAGGGAGCGUAGAUGGAUGUUUAAGUCAGUUGUGAAAGUUUGCGGCUCAACCGUAAAAUUGCAGUUGAUACUGGAUAUCUUGAGUGCAGUUGAGGCAGGCGGAAUUCGUGGUGUAGCGGUGAAAUGCUUAGAUAUCACGAAGAACUCCGAUUG
This 694-nucleotide ribosomal RNA is filed under the name uncultured bacterium. Its description in RNAcentral is "bacterial SSU rRNA". It matches the Rfam family "Bacterial small subunit ribosomal RNA", at positions 32 to 715 of the family's 1533-position model. The record is from RNAcentral.